UGGUUGAAAUACUGGAGGUGAAGUUGUG
RNAcentral lists this non-coding RNA (28 nucleotides) under Rattus norvegicus (Norway rat). Lineage: Eukaryota; Metazoa; Chordata; Mammalia; Rodentia; Muridae. The record is from RNAcentral.